GUGGUCAAGCUAUUAAGGGCGCAUGGGGGAUGUCUUGGCGUUAGGAGGCUUUGAAGGGCGCGGAAGACUGCGAUAAGCCUGGGGGAACCGUCAAACAGGUGAUGAUCCCGGGAUUCCUGAACAGACAUGAACUGAAUUCAUAGGUUCAUGUGGCGAACGCGGAGAACUGAAACAUCUCAGUAUCCGCAGGAAGAGAAAGAAAAAUCGAUUUCCUCAGUAGCGGCGAGCGAAAGGGAAAUAGCCCAAACCGCGGUGGUUUCCACUGCGGGGUUGUAGGGCCCUCCACAGGAGUUAUCAAACAAUCAGUUAGCAGAAUGAUCUGGAAAGGUCGUCCACAGAGGGUGACAGGCCCGUAUGCGAAAACUAAUUGUCUCCGGAGGGUACCCUGAGUAGGUCGAGUCACGUGGAACCUCGACUGAAUCAACGGGGACCAUCCCGUAAGGCUAAAUACUACCUAACGACCGAUAGUAAACUAGUAGAGCGAUCGAAAGAUGAGAAGAACCCCUGUUAGGGGAGGAAUGUGAACCUGAAACCAUGUGCCUACAAGCGGUCGGAGCGCUAUGGCGGGUAACCGCAAUGCGUGACGGCGUGCCUUUUGCAUAAUGAUCCGGCGAGUUACCGUCAGCGGCUCGGUUAAGGUCCUCAGGACCGUAGCCACAGGGAAACCGAGUCUGAAUAGGGCGACACAUGUCGCUGGUGGUAGACGCGAAACUGCACGAACUACCCAUGAGCAGGUUGAACCGCGGGUCAAACCGCGUGGAGGACCGAACCCACUUGGGUUGAAAACCGAGGGGAUGACUUGUGGGGAGGAGUGAAAGUCUAAUCAAGCGCAGAGAUAGCUCGUUCUCUCCGAAAUAGCUUUAGGGCUAGCCUCGGACCAUUACAUGAUGGGGGUAGAGAGACUGAAUUGGAUAAGGGCGCUUCCCGCGUACCUUGCCGAACCAAACUCCGAAUACCGUCAUGUUUACUCCGGGAGUCAGUCCGCGAGGGAUAAGCUUCGCGGUCAAAAGGGAAACAACCCAGACCACCUGCUAAGGUCCCCAAGCAGAACUCAGUCACUAAGGAAGUCGAGUUGCAGUGACAGCCAGGAUGUUGGCUUAGAAGCAGCCAUCAUUUAAAAAGUGCGUAACAGCUUACUGGUCGAGCAACUCAGCGCCGAUAAUGAACGGGAGUAAGUUCUGCACCGAAGCAGUGGAAUCCACUUUUGUGGAUUGGUAGGAGAGCGCUGUACGUCAGAUACAAGUCGCACCGUAAGGAGCGAUGCCGGGGCGUACAGGUGAUUAUGCCGGAAUGAGUAACGAUUAAGCAGGUGAGAAUCCUGCUCGCCGAAAGCCUAAGGUUUCCUGGGGAAGGUAAAUCCGCCCAGGGUUAGCCGGUUCCUUAGUCGAGGCCGAA
RNAcentral lists this ribosomal RNA (1395 nucleotides) under Planctomycetaceae bacterium. RNAcentral describes it as "bacterial LSU rRNA". It matches the Rfam family "Bacterial large subunit ribosomal RNA", at positions 1 to 1406 of the family's 2925-position model. The record is from RNAcentral. Lineage: Bacteria; Pseudomonadati; Planctomycetota; Planctomycetia; Planctomycetales; Planctomycetaceae.